RNAcentral lists this non-coding RNA (27 nucleotides) under Cricetulus griseus (Chinese hamster). Lineage: Eukaryota; Metazoa; Chordata; Mammalia; Rodentia; Cricetidae. The record is from RNAcentral.
AGCUGUUUGCUGCUCCCAACCACUGGC